Long non-coding RNA from Microtus oregoni (creeping vole), 1818 nucleotides. RefSeq lists it as uncharacterized. The transcript is spliced from 8 exons. The record is from RefSeq and is a predicted model, not a curated record. Lineage: Eukaryota; Metazoa; Chordata; Mammalia; Rodentia; Cricetidae.
AGAUGAAGGCUCGGCUCGGGCUGGUCGCUGGACCCAGUUGCAGAACCUGCAGGCCAGGUGGACGAACAGAGCUCUUGGCUCUAAGGUAGCUCCGUCUGCUUCUCCGAGUGAGCGAGGCUGCCUGGGGGGUCCCGCGGUCUCCCGGCCGUCGCCUUCCCACUGCUGGAGACAGCGCAACGGCGGGCGCACCCUGCAUUCAGGUGGCAGUAUCGAAGCCAAAAGCUUCCAGAAGUGGUUUCUAAAAAAGAAGACUUGAAUGUACAUGAGUAAGCAAACACAGGAAUCCAGAAAAUCCACAGGUACUUGCUGCCUCUGAAAUGGAGGAGACACUCUGUGGGAAGUGUGCACUUUGCCUGACACAUUGUGAUAGACAGACAGAGCUAGCAAAUGUUUUUUACCUCAAAUGUACACAGUGCUGUGGAUUUUCUAAUCACAAAAGACAGGUUGAAUUUGAUGAUUAUAUUCAUAAAACUCAUUUUUUGCUGUGUUUUUGGAGAUGAUCUAUCGUCAUACUGCUAAGCAAGCCCUCAGUCACUGAACUACACCUUCAGUAUAAACCUUUCUACAAACUAUGUAUUUAUUUGGGAACUGAUCUAAAAUCUCUGGCACCAAGUUCCAAGGACUGCUAUCAAAAUCCUAAAUGCUGGGAUGAUGAAGACAGGCACAUCCCUGCAACUGAAUGGCCACACAGCCUAGCUGACUCCAGGUUCAGGGAGAGACCCUGUUUAAAAAUACAGUGGAAAAGAACUGAGUAGGAUACUUGGAGUUGAGCUUUGUUCCACAUGCACACACACAGACAUGUAUACAUACUUACACAAAAAAGAAAAUAUCGGGAAUUUGUAAAUAAUAAGAAAAUGACAAGUCUAAAAUCAAGGCUAUAGAAAUGUGUACAACAUUGCUGUGACGGGAGCAACAGCAUAGAGCAUGCCAAGAUCUAGCAAGCAAUUUGAAGUCUCAAGAGGAAGGCUUAGCCUAGAAGAAGGACCAUGGAGAUGAUGCUCUGUACAAAUCCAAUCCAGCAGAUUCACUCUCUGGCAAUGAACAGGAAUGAAACGCAGAUAAGUCGUUAGAAAACUUUUCGAGGCAAAGCUCCUCGUGUGAUCAGAACAAAGCCGUUUUAUAAUCAGAUUUACCAAGCUGAGAGCGAGUUUCGGGCAAACGGAAGCUGCAGUGUUCUGUCACCAGGAAACACUGCAUUUUCCAGAAUCGGAGCCUGGUUUACUUCUGUUCUUUCUACAUCAUUGCCCCAAAACUUUUAUGAAGGACUUUCCAGUCUCAAUAGAAUUUGAACAUUUUAUGUGUUUCAACAUCUCACUCCGUCAUUAGUUCCCUGAAAGCUCGCCCUAGAAUUUACUGGACUGUCCACUAUUGCCGAUCAUCCCUUCUGAAAGCAGAAGAACAACUGUGUGUUGGAAUGAGAAGGAGCUUAGUUGAGGAGCUCAAGCAUGACUUUCCAUGGUGAAAGGAAGAAGAGAAUGGAACUUGCUUCGAAGAAAAACAAGUUUAAUAAUAUGGGUUAUUUGCCUACUCUUUUGGUAAAUAAAUUUACAGUUAUGAAUAUUUUUAGAAAGUAGAAAGUGAAGCUAAAAUUCUCACUAGAGGAAUAGUUUUAAAGGGGUAUUAAUUAAUUGUUAUAUAAACUGGAGAUUUUUAGUAAGAAAUUAUGUAUUUUACAUUAAUAUGCUUAAAAAUGGAAAAGGAGUAAAAGUGAUUUAAAGAUAAAUGUCUAUGUAAUCAACUAAUUGCCAAUGAUGGUAAUAUAAUGUGUUUUUGUCAUCUUGUGCUGAAUUCAAUAAAAAUGAAGCUAAUGACUUAGAA